GAUAGUCACUCAGAUGUCAUAGUAUUGAGGUAGAUGCUGACAUUUGUGUCCCUGAGAUCUCCUUGGGGUUGGGGUAAAGUAGUAUUCUCUUUUGUGUUUCUCUUGCCCAGAACCUCAGUUAGUGCUUGAUACUUAAGAUUCUCACUGUUGCAUGAGACUUCAUUGUUGAUUUACCAAAUUACCAUAUAUGGCUAUGCCUGGGGGACAUUAUGCUAGGACUAUCUUCAGAAUACCUCAGUUGCAAGUUGUUUACCACUUCCCAGUCCUUAUUUCUUGUGUUCAAAGACGAUUUUUCAUUGAAACCUCUUCUAGCUGAUUAUAGGAAUUAUUUAAGUUAGUGGUAGUAGAAAGAAGUGUGGACAAUAAAAAGAAGCAUAUUGAAAUGGGCUUAGAUUAAAGCCGUCCAAAAGACUAUCUGUGCUCAGCUGUGCCUAGAGUACUUUUGGAACAAUCUAUUUAAGAAAUGAUAGACCACAGAUCAAUGACGAUGACACCCACAUUCAUUCUUGAAAAAUAUGACUCAGUUGUACGUCGUGCACAUACACAGGAGCAGGAAUAGAUCACAGAUCACUGAUUGUGACACCCACAUUCAUUCUUGAAAAGUAUGACUCAGCUGUAAGUAGUGCACAUACACAGGAGCAGGAAUCUGAGGGGAAGAAAUAUCUAUCCAGUGCAGAUGCCAUUCACAGAGAUCCCCAGACAGUCUCCUAAGCAGCCUGAAUUGUUCUUCUUGUCUGGUCUGCAUCCCACUGGGAAACAGUCCAAGAUGUUAAAUAUUUUCACUGAAUAUGGUGGUCUACCUCCUUUGGCAUGAGGUUUUGGAGGGGUCUCUUCCAGUGGGACAUAGUUUAUCAUUUAUUUCUCAUCUGUACUGAGAAUUAUAGAAUGAAUCCUGCUUUCAUUCAGGUUACAGAUUUGUUAAAAUAAUUAUCUGAAAUAUAGCAGAUAUUGUCAUGAUUUUGCCAAAACAAAACAAAAACAAAAAAAGUGUUAUAAGAUAGAAAUGCUUAAUGAAUAAAUAACACAUUUUUCAGGACUUGUUUUCUCAUUGUUAUCAAGAGUUGGCCAUGAGGAAUAGGAUAUUAGGUCAUAUGCAGACUAGGAAGUGGAAAAGGCCAAAAGAUAAAAAUUCUACAGGAGACAGAGAAAGCCCUGACACGUCUAUCUUUUUUGCUUGCUUCACACAUGAAAUGACUCCCUGCUGAAUGGAAAGACAGACAGGUGGGACUGGCUUUCAUUCAAAUGAUGGGUGGAAGUGCCGCUGCCGUGUCUGAAGGUUUAAAAAGUUCUAAUGUUCAGAUGAAGAGAGAAGAUAGAAUAACAUUCUCCUUCCCUCAUAUGCAAUGCAGUGGGAAAAUCAGUCCCACUCUUUUAUUUAUGUGGUCAAAAUGUAAGUAUAAAAAUUAUUACCCAUGUUGUGAGUCAAUCUAAUUGCUGGAUCAUCUUUCAUUAGCUCUGGACGUUUAGCUCUCUGUGAUAUGACUGUGUCUCUCUGACCAAAUAAGUCUGUGUCAAAUAAUGGUUAAAAUUUCCACUGAUCCCCAAAAGUCUGAGCACCAGCUGGAUACAGAUGAUUGCCAACACCAGCAGUCAUGUGGAACUCACUAAUUAGGUAUAUGCAUCCUGGGCAUACAGACAUGCCAUGUCAAAGGGGUGGCUGUACCUACCUCACGAUGCCUUCGGAACAUGCAAUAACUUCAUUGCUUUACAAAAAAAAAGGAAAAGAAAAGACUUGGCUGAAAGCAAGAUUGCUUUUCGGAAGGGAAACUCUUUUCCCAGGGUGCACUGUGCAGACAAAACUUACUGCAUCCCUUCUGAAAAUGUGUCUGGAGCAGUCUUCCAAGAUGAUUAAUAGAGCAAGUAUUUCUCACAAGGGUUUGACCUUUGAAAGCACAGACAGACAAAAGGCGUAAAUGGUCAGAGAGGGAUGGAGAGCAUCAGGCUCACGAGACACCCGUGCCCACACAUUUGCCUCUCAUCAGGGCCUGGAACACACCAUGCUGUCCCUUGGAGAAAGCCCUUUAGGACCAUGAUACCUUUGAAAGGUUUUUGUGUCAUUGUAAACAUCUUUACCUUGAAGAUUUUCUUUCAAAUGAUGGAACUGCCAGUUGGUGCAUCGUAGGUGCAGAGACUACAAAAAAAAAAAAAAAAAA
Molecule: long non-coding RNA, 2153 nt
Filed under: Macaca fascicularis (crab-eating macaque)
Lineage: Eukaryota; Metazoa; Chordata; Mammalia; Primates; Cercopithecidae
Description: lncRNA (ENSMFAG00000052739.1)
Source: RNAcentral